UUAAGCAUAUCAAUAAGCGGAGGAAAAGAAACCAACAGGGAUUGCCCUAGUAACGGCGAGUGAAGCGGCAACAGCUCAAAUUUGAAAUCUGGCCCUCGUGGUCCGAGUUGUAAUUUGUAGAGGAUGCUUUUGGUGCGGUGCCUUCCGAGUUCCCUGGAACGGGACGCCAUAGAGGGUGAGAGCCCCGUCUGGUUGGACACCAAUCCUCUGUAAAGCUCCUUCGACGAGUCGAGUAGUUUGGGAAUGCUGCUCUAAAUGGGAGGUAAAUGUCUUCUAAAGCUAAAUACCGGCCAGAGACCGAUAGCGCACAAGUAGAGUGAUCGAAAGAUGAAAAGCACUUUGAAAAGAGGGUUAAAUAGUACGUGAAAUUGUUGAAAGGGAAGCGUUUGUGACCAGACUUGGGCUUGGUUAAUCAUCCAGCGUUCUCGCUGGUGCACUUUGCCAGCCCAGGCCAGCAUCAGUUCGCUGCGGGGGAUAAAAGCUUCGGGAACGUGGCUCUUCGGAGUGUUAUAGCCCGCUGCAUAAUACCCUGUGGCGGACUGAGGUUCGCGCAUCUGCAAGGAUGCUGGCGUAA
Molecule: ribosomal RNA, 574 nt
Filed under: Nectria sp. (in: ascomycete fungi)
Lineage: Eukaryota; Fungi; Ascomycota; Sordariomycetes; Hypocreales; Nectriaceae
Description: eukaryotic LSU rRNA
Rfam family: Eukaryotic large subunit ribosomal RNA
Source: RNAcentral